GUGUGCCUGCGUGUGUACACAUGCAAAUGUAUGUGUGUCUUGAAUAUGUAUGUAUGUAUGUUUGUGUGCACACACUGAAACUCUUCCUCUUUCAAGACCUGAGGUUCCCUGCAGCCCCUGUCACCCAGUAACAUUAUAUUCCCUGCAGCCGAGCGCCUUUCCUCCUUCCCUGGCCUCAUUAGAAGCCGCUGAUGUGCCCGGCACCCUUAAAGAUGGUAACACGACACUAGCUUUUAGUGAACAAUAACCCACAAAAGCAGAUGACAUCAGCCAGCAGAAACAUCACAGGGCCAAGGCGAGCUGCUUGCUGUGUGGGGCUUAGCGUUGCAGGACAGCACGGGCAGAAACCACACACAUGUGCAGGGGGGGAGGAACGGCUGCACAGUACUCGCCAGACAGCUGCCCAGCUGCCAGGAGCCACUGGCAUGGCACAGCGCGGUGCCAGCAACACUGCUCUGGGGAACAAACAUAGACUAAUUGCAGGAUAGUGGACCUGUGCAAGUUUGUGUUUUUCUUUUGCCUUUUUUUUCCUUUUUUUUUUUCCUCCUUUGGUCAUGGUGGUGAUUUGUACAUGUGUAUUUCACUGCGGUGCUAUGCUUGUGAGGCAUCUGAGGGAACGGUAGCUUCCUGGCUCCUCUGAGGGAGUGGGGUAUGGAAGGUAUCUGCUGAGGCAAGACUGCCAGGACCAACGAAGGGGCCGAGAGCCAGGAGUGUGUAGUCUCGAGUGGGGGCUGCUGCACGUGCUCGUGCUCCACGGCUUUUUCCUGGCUGCCUCGGCCGAACUUCACCGCAACACAUGCUAUAAGAUAUAAGUGAGUUCUUUUAAUAAAAUCGGGGUAUUUCUUUUUUAUUUUACAAACCGCUAUUUCUCAUUACAGAAAACACAAAAAUUUGGCUCUGGUGAAUCCUGCAGGCUGCAGGCCUCCCGUCAUUUGGCGGCCUGUUUUUCCUUAUUAAAGAGUCUUACAGGUAUUCUUAAAGCAGCAGACUCCUGUACAGAAAGAAACUAUACAAAAAUCAGCAGAAAUCCAAGUUUGAAUUUUUUUUUUUACUAAUUGACGUUUUUUGUUAUCCAACUGCACAUUUUAAUCCACUGUUGCACUACUAUAAACAAUUCUAAUUACAUCACAACAUUCUUUUUACAACCAAAUGUUCUGCCUGCUUCUUUGACUUCUGCAUUUAAAAAUGCAUC
This is a long non-coding RNA of Clupea harengus (Atlantic herring), 1192 nucleotides long. The record is from Ensembl. Lineage: Eukaryota; Metazoa; Chordata; Actinopteri; Clupeiformes; Clupeidae.